GUUGUUUCUAAGAAGCCGGUUCUGUCCGCAGAGGGGCAGACGGAGCACAGCACUAAACACCAGUGGCAGGUGAACCAGCAGCAGUUCUCAAAGGGGCCUUAGGAUGAGGAGGCGGUGGCGCAGGUGGGGAGAAAAGACCGAAGAGGCCUUUGGAGGGGUGAAACGAAUUGAAUUCAGUGACGGCUGUAGCGGUCUGACCCGGAAGAUAAAUGGGACGGCCACACCAGUGACCUGCAGAACAGGUUGCAGGGAAAGGCCCUUACAAACCCAAGUAUGACCCAAAGAGCAGUGGUUCUGACACCGUCUAGAAGCUGUCAGAAAGGCAGACUCCCAGGCCUCGCCUCUGGCCUCCGGAAUCCGGAUCUGCAUUUUAACAGGAUCUGCAGUUUGACUCACAGGGUAGUCCCAGCUCCCGGUGCUUAAAGCUGUCUCCUUGUAGAAGAGAAACAGGGCCACAGGUGGCACUGCUGUCACACCUUUUCCUCUCACGCGCUCUUACGGAGGAUGCGCGAGACUGGUAUCUCUACAGAGACCAACGUUCCCAGUGGAAGAACUCAACACGAAGCAUCAUUUCCGUGUUUAAUGUAAUCUCCCCAAGUAAGUACGAAUUCCCUUUGGAUACAGCGGUUUUUGUAAUUUUCCUGAGUAAAUGCUCCU
Long non-coding RNA from Mustela erminea (ermine), 657 nucleotides. RefSeq lists it as uncharacterized. The record is from RefSeq and is a predicted model, not a curated record. Lineage: Eukaryota; Metazoa; Chordata; Mammalia; Carnivora; Mustelidae. The transcript has 3 exons.